GGAUGUGAGGGCAAUCUGGCUGCAACAUCUGUCAUCCUAUUGAUUGCCAGGAUUGAUUCAGCUGAUGUGACUGGCUAGGCGGGUGUCCCCGUCCUCCGUGAAUGCUCCACAUGCAUCCUGCCCAAAGUUGUGUGCUCACCGUCCCCGAUAGAGGAGGAUUGGUCUUCAGUCAACGGUAUAUGAAUAGCUGCGCUCCCCGGCUAGAACCUCCAAAUAAGCUCUCAAGUCAUUUAGAAAGAACAAUUUAAAAUUUAAAAACAACCGGGGCGUGGUGGCGCACACCU
RNAcentral lists this small nuclear RNA (284 nucleotides) under Nannospalax galili (Upper Galilee mountains blind mole rat). RNAcentral's name for it is "7SK RNA (ENSNGAG00000005819.1)". It matches the Rfam family "7SK RNA". From Rfam's summary of the family: 7SK was discovered as an abundant small nuclear RNA in the mid-70s but a possible function has only recently been suggested. The record is from RNAcentral. Lineage: Eukaryota; Metazoa; Chordata; Mammalia; Rodentia; Spalacidae.